AGUAGUUCAAUUGGUAGAGCAUCGGUCUCCAAAACCGAGUGUCGAGGGUUCGAGUCCUUCCUG
RNAcentral lists this transfer RNA (63 nucleotides) under uncultured Collinsella sp. It matches the Rfam family "tRNA", at positions 6 to 65 of the family's 71-position model. Rfam says of the family: Transfer RNA (tRNA) molecules are approximately 80 nucleotides in length. Lineage: Bacteria; Bacillati; Actinomycetota; Coriobacteriia; Coriobacteriales; Coriobacteriaceae. The record is from RNAcentral.